Molecule: ribosomal RNA, 468 nt
Filed under: uncultured bacterium
Lineage: Bacteria
Description: partial 16S ribosomal RNA
Rfam family: Bacterial small subunit ribosomal RNA
Source: RNAcentral
GAUGAACGCUGGCGGCGUGCUUAACACAUGCAAGUCGAACGGAAAGGCACUGAUUUUGUGCGGUGCUCGAGUGGCGAUCGGGUGAGUGUCACGUGUGUAUCCUGCCCUUGUCUUUCGGAUAACUUCAGGAAACUGGGGCUAAUAUAGGAUAGCAGCUCAUGCUGCAUGGUGGGCGUUGGAAAGUUUCGGCGGUUGGGGAUGGACUAGCGGCUUAUCAGCUUGUUGGUGGGGUAGUGGAUUACCCAGGCUUGGGCGGGUAGCCGGCCUGAGAGGGGGACCGGCCACAAGAGGACUGAGAGACGGCGCAGACGGGAAUGGGAGGCAACGGUGGAGAGUAUGACACAGCGGGCGGGAGCCAGUGGCGGAGGCGCCGCGUUCGGAAAGACGUCCUGUGGGUUGUGAACCGCUGUCGCCUGAGACGAAGCGGUAGUGACGGUAACGGAUAAAGAAGCACCGGCUAACUACGUG